Molecule: ribosomal RNA, 339 nt
Filed under: uncultured Latescibacterota bacterium
Lineage: Bacteria; Pseudomonadati; Candidatus Latescibacterota
Description: bacterial SSU rRNA
Rfam family: Bacterial small subunit ribosomal RNA
Source: RNAcentral
AACGAACGUUGGCGGCGUGGAUUAGGCAUGCAAGUCGAACGCGAAAGGGUAGCAAUACCCGAGUAAAGUGGCGAACGGGUGAGUAACGCGUAGGAAACCUGCCUUCGAGAGGGGGAUAACACUCCUAACGGGGUGCUAAUACCGCAUGAUACUGCGGGGUCGCCUGGCCCUGCAGUCAAAGGUGGCCUCUAUUUAUAAGCUACCACUCGAAGAUGGUCCUGCGUCCCAUUAGCUAGUUGGCGGGGUAACGGCCCACCAAGGCGACGAUGGGUAGCCGAUCUGAGAGGAUGACCGGCCACACUGGGACUGAGAUACGGCCCAGACUCCUACGGGAGGCUG